UGACGAGCUCCGCCUCGCCCCUAGCGGCCUCCAUGGUGGGGUUGGGCGGAAUAUAGUGAAUCGCCGGAGGGAGGCAGGUCUCCUCCCCGAGGCCCGAGCGCUCGAGGAUCCUCAUCUGGAACUCGACGCUCUUGGGGUUGUUGCUGAGGUUGAGGCGGGAGUGCUCCAUGAAGGUGGAGAAGGGGACGCGGCAGGUGACUGGAGGCUUGAAACAGGCGUAGUCGACGAGGUAGAUGGAGCGGGGUUUGGACAUAAAGUAGACGGUGGCGAUGAAGAUGAUGAGGAAUGAGGAGCAGAGGAUUUGGACGAGAUCGAAGUGAAGUGAGUCCCAGAGCUUGAGAAGCUCGUCGGGGCCGAGGCGGAUGACCUCCAGUAGGAUUCCGGCCAUGAUGAGGAUGAGAGUGAGGGUAAGAAUGUGGUUGACGAGGUACUGGUAGCCGAGCUUGACAUACUUGAGCUUGACGG
Molecule: long non-coding RNA, 465 nt
Filed under: Malus domestica (apple)
Lineage: Eukaryota; Viridiplantae; Streptophyta; Magnoliopsida; Rosales; Rosaceae
Description: long non-coding RNA (MDOM_LNC011772)
Source: RNAcentral